UACGUGCCAGCAGCCGCGGUAAUACGUAGGGUGCAAGCGUUAUCCGGAAUUAUUGGGCGUAAAGAGCUCGUAGGCGGUUUGUCGCGUCUGCUGUGAAAACUGGGGGCUCAACCCCCAGCCUGCAGUGGGUACGGGCAGACUAGAGUGCGGUAGGGGAGAUUGGAAUUCCUGGUGUAGCGGUGGAAUGCGCAGAUAUCAGGAGGAACACCGAUGGCGAAGGCAGAUCUCUGGGCCGUAACUGACGCUGAGGAGCGAAAGGGUGGGGAGCAAACAGGCUUAGAUACCCUGGUAGUCCACCCCGUAAACGUUGGGAACUAGUUGUGGGGUCCAUUCCACGGAUUCCGUGACGCAGCUAACGCAUUAAGUUCCCCGCCUGGGGAGUACGGCCGCAAGGCUAAAACUCAAAGGAAUUGACGGGGACCCGCACAAGCGGCGGAGCAUGCGGAUUAAUUCGAUGCAACGCGAAGAACCUUACCAAGGCUUGACAUAUACGAGAACGGGCCAGAAAUGGUCAACUCUUUGGACACUCGUAAACAGGUGGUGCAUGGUUGUCGUCAGCUCGUGUCGUGAGAUGUUGGGUUAAGUCCCGCAACGAGCGCAACCCUCGUUCUAUGUUGCCAGCACGUAAUGGUGGGAACUCAUGGGAUACUGCCGGGGUCAACUCGGAGGAAGGUGGGGAUGACGUCAAAUCAUCAUGCCCCUUAUGUCUUGGGCUUCACGCAUGCUACAAUGGCCGGUACAAAGGGCUGCAAUACCGUAAGGUGGAGCGAAUCCCAAAAAGCCGGUCCCAGUUCGGAUUGAGGUCUGCAACUCGACCUCAUGAAGUCGGAGUCGCUAGUAAUCGCAGAUCAGCAACGCUGCGGUGAAUACGUUCCCGGGUCUUGUACACACCGCCCGUCAAGUCAUGAAAGUCGGUAACACCUGAAGCCGGUGGCCCAACCCUUGUGGAGGGAGCCGUCGAAGGUG
Molecule: ribosomal RNA, 966 nt
Filed under: Microbacterium lacus
Lineage: Bacteria; Bacillati; Actinomycetota; Actinomycetes; Micrococcales; Microbacteriaceae
Description: bacterial SSU rRNA
Rfam family: Bacterial small subunit ribosomal RNA
Source: RNAcentral